This 1102-nucleotide ribosomal RNA is filed under the name uncultured beta proteobacterium. RNAcentral's name for it is "bacterial SSU rRNA". It matches the Rfam family "Bacterial small subunit ribosomal RNA", at positions 38 to 1135 of the family's 1533-position model. The record is from RNAcentral. Lineage: Bacteria; Pseudomonadati; Pseudomonadota; Betaproteobacteria.
GGCGGCAUGCCUUACACAUGCAAGUCGAACGGCAGCAUAGGAGCUUGCUCCUGAUGGCGAGUGGCGAACGGGUGAGUAAUAUAUCGGAACGUGCCCUAGAGUGGGGGAUAACUAGUCGAAAGAUUAGCUAAUACCGCAUACGAUCUACGGAUGAAAGUGGGGGAUCGCAAGACCUCAUGCUCUUGGAGUGGCCGAUAUCUGAUUAGCUAGUUGGUGGGGCAAAAGCUCACCAAGGCGACGAUCAGUAGCUGGUCUGAGAGGACGACCAGCCACACUGGAACUGAGACACGGUCCAGACUCCUACGGGAGGCAGCAGUGGGGAAUUUUGGACAAUGGGGGCAACCCUGAUCCAGCAAUGCCGCGUGAGUGAAGAAGGCCUUCGGGUUGUAAAGCUCUUUUGUCAGGGAAGAAACGGUGAGGGCUAAUAUCCCUUGCUAAUGACGGUACCUGAAGAAUAAGCACCGGCUAACUACGUGCCAGCAGCCGCGGUAAUACGUAGGGUGCAAGCGUUAAUCGGAAUUACUGGGCGUAAAGCGUGCGCAGGCGGUUGUGCAAGACAGAUGUGAAAUCCCCGGGCUCAACCUGGGAAUUGCAUUUGUGACUGCACGGCUAGAGUGUGUCAGAGGGGGGUAGAAUUCCACGUGUAGCAGUGAAAUGCGUAGAGAUGUGUAGGAAUACCGAUGGCGAAGGCAGCCCCCUGGGAUAACACUGACGCUCAUGCACGAAAGCGUGGGGAGCAAACAGGAUUAGAUACCCUGGUAGUCCACGCCCUAAACGAUGUCUACUAGUUGUUGGGUCUUAAUUGACUUGGUAACGCAGCUAACGCGUGAAGUAGACCGCCUGGGGAGUACGGUCGCAAGAUUAAAACUCAAAGGAAUUGACGGGGACCCGCACAAGCGGUGGAUGAUGUGGACUAAUUCGAUGCAACGCGAAAAACCUUACCUACCCUUGACAUGUCCGGAAUCCCUGANAGAUCAGGGAGUGCUCGAAAGAGAAUCGGAACACAGGUGCUGCAUGGCUGUCGUCAGCUCGUGUCGUGAGAUGUUGGGUUAANUCCCGCAACGAGCGCAACCCUKGUCAUUAGUUGCUACAUUUAGUUGGG